RNAcentral lists this long non-coding RNA (1379 nucleotides) under Oryza sativa (Asian cultivated rice). Its description in RNAcentral is "long non-coding RNA (OSAT_LNC001637)". The record is from RNAcentral. Lineage: Eukaryota; Viridiplantae; Streptophyta; Magnoliopsida; Poales; Poaceae.
AAAAAGCAUUUAUGUAGUAGUGAUUGCUUAUAGGGGUAAAUUAUAUAUAUAUUGUACUAUAUGAUAUAAAGAUAACAAAUAGAUUGGAAAAAAGUUAUUUAAUCAAUACCAAUGAAAAUGCCUUUGGAAAUAGUACUUUUGAAAUGCAACAUGAAUAAUCUGGCUGAUAUUAUACUCUUAUAAAUUUCUAACCAUUACAUAACCCAAGAUUCAAGUCCGUGCCUAAAUUUCUAACCAUUGCAUAACCUAAGAUUCAUGUCCUGGCGAUAGGCGGGCUAGUUUAGAGAAACAAGGGAACGUCUUCUCUUGGGAUAAAUUAGCUUCCUAGGAACGUUAAUUAACAAAGUAAGAUUCAUUAUCUAAACAAAACAGGCGUGCAAGUAUCUUAUGAGCCGAUAAUUGAGUAUUUUAUACAGAAAUUGACUUUGGAAAUAGUACUUUUGAAAUGCAACAUGAAUAAUCUGGCUGAUAUUAUACUCUUAAGGGCUUAUUCGGAAUGGAGGAGAAACAUUGGAAAAAUGAAGGAUUUUGGUUCCUAUGGAUUACUUUACUGUGGCGUCAUUCGGAUCACAGGAAAACAUUCGUAGGAAAUACAUAGGGAAAAUUCCUGCGCUAGCCAUACCACUGCAAGGUCACAGGAAAAAAAAAUCCACGCCGACCUCUUUUUUCUCUCCCUCCGCGUGGGAACGAGACAAAUCAUGCCAUCAAGCAACUAAAGCAUAUUAUUAGGUUGAUUAAUGUUGUUUAAUUCACUAGUAGCAUGUGAUAAUUUUGUAAUAGUGCACCUAUUUUCUUAAAGAUUCCUAUGUUUUUCCUUUACUCCAUCCAAACACCUAUUCACAUGAAAUUCCUAUGUUUUCAAAUCCUUUGUUUUACACUUGCAUUCCUAUCCUAUUCCUACGUUUUUCCUGUUCCUAUGUUUUUUCAAUCCUGCAUUCCGAAUGAGCCAUUAUAAAUUUCUAACCAUUACAUAACCCAAGAUUCAAGUCCGUGCCUAAAUUUCUAACCAUUACAUAACCUAAUAUUCAUGUCCGUGAGAAUAGGCGGGCUAGUUUAGAGAAACAAGGGAACGUCUUCUCUUGGGAUAAAUUAGCUUCCUAGGAACGUUAAUUAAAUAAGUAAGAUUCAUUAUCUAAACAAAACAGGCGUGCAAGUAUCUUAUGAGCCGAUAAUUGAGUAUUUUAUACAGAAAUUUAUUUGCAAUUAUGCUAGUACUAGUACUAUGGAUGCACUGAAAAAAAAAUCAAAAUUAAACCUUUCCGCUGGCCGGCCGCAGGAGCCACGGCGGCUAACACGAACGCAGCGAAGAAAAGCAAGAGGGCCAUUGUUGGCUGCCGAGCCGAGCUAGCUAGAAUAUGGGAUCUUGCGCGUCACUUGCA